Molecule: ribosomal RNA, 1434 nt
Filed under: uncultured archaeon
Lineage: Archaea
Description: bacterial SSU rRNA
Rfam family: Archaeal small subunit ribosomal RNA
Source: RNAcentral
CUGGUUGAUCCUGCCGGCGGCCACUGCUAUCAAGUUCCGACUAAGCCAUGCGAGUCAAGGUAUCGUAAGAUGCCGGCAAACUGCUCAGUAACACGUGGAUAAUCUAACCUUGAGUAAGGGAUAACUUCGGGAAACUGAAGGUAAUACCUUAUAAUUGCUUAAAACUGGAAUGUUUUUGCAAUAAAAGUUACGACGCUCAAGGAUGAGUCUGCGACCUAUCAGGUAGUAGGUGGUGUAAUGGACCACCUAGCCUCAGACGGGUACGGGCCCUGGGAGGGGUAGCCCGGAGAUGGACUCUGAGACAUAAGUCCAGGCCCUACGGGGCGCAGCAGGCGCGAACACUGUGCAAUGCGCGAAAGCGCGACACGGGGAGCUUGAGUGUCUUGGCAUAGCCAAGACUUUUCUCAUUCCUAAAAAGCAUGAGGAAUAAGUGCUGGGUAAGACGGGUGCCAGCCGCCGCGGUAACACCCGCAGCACGAGUAGUGGUCACUUUUAUUGAGCCUAAAGCGUUCGUAGCCGGUUUUGUAAAUCUUCAGAUAAAGCCUGAAGCUUAACUCCAGAAAGUCUGAAGAGACUGCAAGACUUGAGAUCGGGUGAGGUUAAACGUACUUUCAGGGUAGGGGUAAAAUCCUGUAAUCCCGGAAGGACGACCAGUGGCGAAAGCGUUUAACUAGAACGAAUCUGACGGUAAGGAACGAAGGCUAGGGUAGCAAACCGGAUUAGAUACCCGGGUAGUCCUAGCUGUAGACAUUGCCCAUUUGAUGUUGCUUUUCCGUUGAGGGAAGGCAGUGUCGGAGCGAAGGUGUUAAAUGGGCCGCUUGGGAAGUAUGGUCGCAAGACUGAAACUUAAAGGAAUUGGCGGGGGGGCACCGCAACGGGAGGAAUGUGCGGUUUAAUUGGAUUCAACGCCGGAAAACUCACCGGGAACGACCUGUGCAUGAGAGUCAACCUGACGAGCUUACUCGAUAGCAGGAGAGGUGGUGCAUGGCCGUCGUCAGCUCGUACCGUAGGGCGUUCACUUAAGUGUGAUAACGAGCGAGACCCACAUCUUUAAUUGCAAAUGUAUAUGAGAAUAUGCAUGCACUUUAGAGAAACCGCCAGCGCUAAGCUGGAGGAAGGAGUGGUCGACGGCAGGUCAGUACGCCCCGAAUUUCCCGGGCUACACGCGCAUUACAAAGAACGGGACAAUACGUUGCAACCUCGAAAGAGGAAGCUAAUCGCGAAACCCGUCCAUAGUUAGGAUUGAGGGCUGUAACUCGCCCUCAUGAAUCUGGAUUCCGUAGUAAUCGCGGGUCAACAACCCGCGGUGAACAUGCCCCUGCUCCUUGCACACACCGCCCGUCAAACCAUCCGAGUUGGUGUUGGAUGAGGUUUAAUUCGAGAGGGUUAAAUCAAAUCUGAUGUCGGUGAGGAGGGUUAAGUCGUAUCAAGGUA